UCUUCUCUCUCUCUUACUCUCUGUGUAGUAGCUCCUCCUGCUUAAGGUAAGCUAAGAUCCGUUGCUUAAUAUCCUUACUUUUGAUCAAGUCAGAGUCUUUUAGGCUAUAUGAUUCACCUUUUAGGCUAUAUGAUUCAUCAAUCUCUUUAGUGUUUGAAAUUGAAACAGCUUUCUAGUUUUACGGACACACUUAGUUGCUUGAACUCCUGGAACUCAAUGGUUGAUAUUUUUUUCCAGAAUAAAAUCUUCAAAAGCACUUAUUUUUUUCAGUAAUAUAAUGUUUGGCAAUAUUUGUUCUGGUGGGAUUUGUCUAAUUAUGUAUUUGUUGGGUGAUUUUUGUACCUAUCAGUGGUUAUGUAACUCAUCCAUGGAUGAAAGACUGAAUUUCUGUAACUGAUUGAUUGAGAAAUUUUCCAGAAUAAAAUCUUUAAAAGCACUUCGUUUGUCAGUAAUAUAAUGUUUGGCAAUAUUUGUUCGGUUGGGCUUUGUCUAAUUAUUCAUUAGAUUAGUUGGCUGAUUUUGGUACCUAUCAGUGGGUAUGUAAAUUGUAACUCAUCCAUGGACGAAAGACUAAAUUUUUUGUAUAUGGGUUGUAGGAAAAUCACAAAAAGGCUUAUCAAUGGCAGUCACAUUCCAUGACAUCAACUCGGCUGUUGGCCUGAAGAAAUUGGAUGACUACUUGCUUGCCCGCAGUUACAUCACUGGCUACGAAGGUUCAAAGGAUGAUCUCAUUGUCCAUGCAGCUCUUUCAAAGCCUCCACCAUCAGAAUUUGUGAACGUGUCUCGGUGGUACAACCAUAUCACUGCACUUCUUAGGAUUUCGUAAGUUCUUAUAACUUGUGAUGGGUUUCUUUUAUCUUUAUUAUUAGAUUAUGAUGGAUUUCUUCAAAGCUCAUAUAUUUGGAUUAAAUCUUUGACUUAUUUGAUUGUCUGUUGUUGUAGUGGUGUUUCUGGACAAGGCUCUGGUGUCAUUGUUGAGGGAUCUGCUCCCAUCACAGAGGAAGCAGUUGCUACACCUCCUGUGGCUGAUACAAAGGCAAGCACUUUUCUGCCCUAUCCACUGAGUUCUUAUUUGGAUGUCUGUUUGCUUUUUUGCUUAUAAUGUGGAAUGUUAGGUUGGGCUAUUAUUGCUUUAUCCGCUUUAAGAAAUUGCAUACAAUUGUUAUGCUCAUGUGUUAGAAUGUGAUACGGUUUUCAGGCCUCAGCUGCUGAAGACGAUGAUGAUGAUGUGGAUCUGUUUGGUGAAGAGACUGAAGAAGAGAAGAAGGCUGCUGAAGAGCGUGCAGCUUCCAUCAAGGCAUCUACAAAAAAGAAAGAAUGUUAGUUUCCUAUCUGAUUUUCAUCCCUUUCAUAUUAGUUUCCUAUCUUGUUUUCAGCCCUUUCAUAUUAGUUUCCUAUCUUGUUUUCAGCCCUUUCAUAUUAGUUUCCUAUCUUGUUGUCUGCCCUUUAAUAUAUCCAUCUCCUUUCCCCUUUCACUGUUAUUUCUUUCGUGCUGAAGGUUUGUUGUUGUAUUUUUCCAUUGUCAGCUGGAAAGUCAUCAGUCCUGUUGGAUGUGAAGCCAUGGGAUGAUGAAACUGACAUGAAAAAGCUUGAGGAGGCAGUAAGAAGUGUUCACAUUGAAGGCUUGCAUUGGGGAGCAUGUAAGUUCUUUCAUCUAAGUUAAUUGCAGGUAUAAGCUAAGGGCCAGAUUUUCUAACCAUAGUUAGCAACAAAAUUUGGCCAUUGAUAUGCACUUAAUACAUUAGCAAUGUGGAAGUCAAUGUUAUGAAGUUUUAGUCCUCUUGAUUGAUGCUAAACCAACCUUUAUGUUCCUAAUUUGGUUAUUUAUUAUCUUGUUGAUUCUGCAGCCAAACUUGUAGCUGUUGGGUAUGGAAUAAAGAAGUUGCAAAUAAUGCUAACAAUUGUUGAUGACCUGGUCUCUGUUGACACUCUUAUUGAGGAACAACUUACUGUUGAACCAAUUAAUGAGUAUGUCCAGAGCUGUGACAUUGUAGCCUUCAACAAAAUAUGUAAGUAUAUUUAAAGUUUGUAAUCAAGUAAUCAUUUUAUGGACUAUUUGUUCGAGAUACGAAUCCUCACUGUUGAUUUAUCCUUACCCUUUGUUUCUCAUUGCAGGAUUGGAGCAUUGAGUGUUCUACUGUGAGAGGGGUUGCUAGGAAGAUAUUUUAUAUCUGCUCAUAUCUUGUUUCUUGGGGCAUGAUUUGAGACUUUAUAUUAUCUUUGGUUAUGAUGUAUUUUAGCAUUCCUUUGAUGAAUAAUAUGCCAGUCCUUUGUAGGUUUGAUAAGACGUCAGUUUU
This 2297-nucleotide long non-coding RNA is filed under the name Prunus dulcis (almond). RNAcentral describes it as "sRNA ncRNA". The record is from RNAcentral. Lineage: Eukaryota; Viridiplantae; Streptophyta; Magnoliopsida; Rosales; Rosaceae.